CUGGCUCAGGAUGAACGCUGGCGGCGUGCCUAAUACAUGCAAGUCGAACGAGGUAGCAAUACCGAGUGGCGAACGGGUGAGUAACACGUAGGUAACCUGCCCUUAAGCUUGGGAUACCCAGAGGAAACUUGGCUAAUACCGGAUAACAACAGAGAAGGCAUCUUCUUUGCUUGAAAGGCCCCUUCAAGGGUCACUUAAGGAUGGACCUGCGGCGCAUUAGCUAGUUGGUGAGAUAACAGCCCACCAAGGCGAGGAUGCGUAGCCGAACUGAGAGGUUGAUCGGCCACAUUGGAACUGAGACACGGUCCAAACUCCUACGGGAGGCAGCAGUAAGGAGUUUUCGGCAAUGGGGGAAACCCUGACCGAGCAACGCCGCGUGAGCGAUGACGGCCCUAUGGGUUGUUAAAAAGCUCUGUUGUAAGCCAUGAAUGAUAGCUUGAGGAAAUGCAAGCUAUUUGACGACAGCUUACCAGAAAGCCACGGCUAACUACGUGCCAGCCGCAGC
This 505-nucleotide ribosomal RNA is filed under the name uncultured bacterium. RNAcentral describes it as "bacterial SSU rRNA". It matches the Rfam family "Bacterial small subunit ribosomal RNA", at positions 19 to 518 of the family's 1533-position model. The record is from RNAcentral.